AUUGAACGCUGGCGGCAUGCCUAACACAUGCAAGUCGAACGGAGGUAGGGGCAACUCUACUUCAGUGGCGGACGGGUGAGGAAUGCGUCGGAAUCUACCCUAUGGUGGGGGAUAACACAGGGAAACUUGUGCUAAUACCGCAUGAUGUCGAGAGACCAAAGCAGGGGACCGCAAGGCCUUGCGCGAUAGGAUGAGCCGACGCCCGAUUAGCUAGUUGGUAGGGUAAUGGCCUACCAAGGCGACGAUCGGUAGCUGGUCUGAGAGGAUGAUCAGCCACACUGGGACUGAGACACGGCCCAGACUCCUACGGGAGGCAGCAGUGGGGAAUAUUGGACAAUGGGCGAAAGCCUGAUCCAGCAAUGCCGCGUGUGUG
This 373-nucleotide ribosomal RNA is filed under the name uncultured bacterium. Its description in RNAcentral is "bacterial SSU rRNA". It matches the Rfam family "Bacterial small subunit ribosomal RNA", at positions 30 to 407 of the family's 1533-position model. The record is from RNAcentral.